GUAGGGAAUAUUGCACAAUGGAGGAAACUCUGAUGCAGCGACGCCGCGUGAGUGAUGAAGGCCUUCGGGUCGUAAAGCUCUGUCGCAGGGGAAUAACACAAUGAAGGUACCCUGUAAGAAAGGAUCGGCUAACUUCGUGCCAGCAGCCGCGGUAAGACGAGGGAUCCUAGCGUUGUUCGGAAUCAUUGGGCGUAAAGCGGAUGUAGGUGGCUAUGUAAGUCAGAUGUGAAAGCCUGGGGCUCAACCCCAGAAGUGCAUUUGAUACUGCGUAGCUUGAGUGUCGGAGAGGUUACUAGAAUUGUUGGUGUAGUGGUGAAAUACGUAGAUAUCAACAGGAAUACCGGAGGCGAAGGCGGGUAACUGGCCGAACACUGACACUGAGGUGCGAAAGCGUGGGGAGCAAACAGGAUUAGAAACCCGGGUAGUCC
This 428-nucleotide ribosomal RNA is filed under the name uncultured bacterium. RNAcentral describes it as "partial 16S ribosomal RNA". It matches the Rfam family "Bacterial small subunit ribosomal RNA", at positions 354 to 796 of the family's 1533-position model. The record is from RNAcentral.